This 206-nucleotide long non-coding RNA is filed under the name Mytilus galloprovincialis (Mediterranean mussel). The record is from RNAcentral. Lineage: Eukaryota; Metazoa; Mollusca; Bivalvia; Mytilida; Mytilidae.
AUUUGAACUUGGAAUUAUUUUUAAUUAUGGAAUUUGUAUAAUUUUUUCCGCUUGAAAUUUUUUAUAAAUUCCAUGUUUAUUUUGUACUUGAAUGUUCUGUGCUGCGCACAACACUUUCUUUUACAAAGAAGAUGGUACAUUUUCAAUAGAAUGUACUGUGCCGCGCACAACACUAUCUAUACAAAAUACAUUGUAUCGAAAGUGUA